CAAUUUGUGUUAGGUGUUUUGACGACAGAGAGUCUUGUCAAACGUUUUCAGUACUGUCAACUGUCAAAAUGGAUGGUGAAAAUUUUGAAGACAUUGAGAACAUCGAUCCCAACAGAAGUGUGAAGUGUGAAAGUGUGAAAGUGUGGAGAAAUAGCAGUGACAAUGCUACCCCUGAAAAAACUACUGAUUGCUGAAGAAUAUUGCCAGAUGGCGUUUUUCGUUGUUAAUUUGAUCGCUUAAAUAAUCGAAAAAAAACAUGGUCUAACCAUGGAGGUCCCGGAACUGUUGUCUACUAGGCCUGAUUUGGGCUGUUCGUCUGCUAUUUCCGCGGACAAAUUUUGGGGCACUCGCUAGGGGCGCUGACAACCCGGAUCAGUCAUAACAUUUCCUCCAAAACGUUGUCAACAAUGGGGAAAGUAGUCGCUUAUGACUGUUUUCCGCGCUGUUUUCUUCUGGAUUAAAAAUAAAAAAAUUUACUACAAAAAAAGGAAACCUGAAUCAAUUCCUCUUUGUAUUACACGCCUUAAUAUACAUUAAUACACAUUAAUUGACCAUCUUA
Long non-coding RNA from Daphnia magna, 559 nucleotides. RefSeq lists it as uncharacterized. NCBI's taxonomy places the organism in Eukaryota, Metazoa, Arthropoda, Branchiopoda, Diplostraca, Daphniidae. The transcript has 2 exons. The record is from RefSeq and is a predicted model, not a curated record.